RNAcentral lists this ribosomal RNA (103 nucleotides) under Aotus nancymaae (Ma's night monkey). Lineage: Eukaryota; Metazoa; Chordata; Mammalia; Primates; Aotidae. The record is from RNAcentral.
CAUGAAGUCUUUGCCCAUGCCUGAACAUACCUGAUCUUGUCUGAUCUCCAAAGCUAAGCAUGGUUGGGCUGGUUAGUACUUGAAUGAGAAAUCAAUUUUAUGU